GAUGAACGCUGGCGGCGUGCCUAAUACAUGCAAGUCGAGCGAACGGACGAGAAGCUGGCUGCUCGGAGGUUAGCGGCGGACGGGUGAGUAACACGUGGAUAACCGACCUAUGAGACUGGGAUAACUACGGGAAACCGGAGCUAGUACCGGAUAAUAUUGUGAACGGCAUGGUUCAAAAGUGAAAGACGGUCUGGCGGGCACUUGUAGAUGGAUCCGCGCUGCAUUAGCUAGUUGGUAAGGUAACGGCUUACCAAGGCAACGAUGCAUAGCCGACAUGAGAGGGUGAUCCGCCACCCUGGAACUGAGACACGGCCCAGACUUCUAGGGGAGGCAGCAGUAGGGAAUCUUCCGCGAUGCGCGAAAGCCUGACGGAGCAACGCCGCGUCAGUGCUGAAGCUCUUCGGACCGUAAAACUCUGUUAUUAGGAAAGAACAUAUGUGUAAGUAACUGUGAACAUCUUGACGGUACCUAAUCAGAAAGCCCCGGCUAACUACGUG
This 497-nucleotide ribosomal RNA is filed under the name uncultured bacterium. RNAcentral's name for it is "partial 16S ribosomal RNA". It matches the Rfam family "Bacterial small subunit ribosomal RNA", at positions 28 to 507 of the family's 1533-position model. The record is from RNAcentral.